Molecule: long non-coding RNA, 990 nt
Organism: Pogoniulus pusillus (Red-fronted tinkerbird)
Lineage: Eukaryota; Metazoa; Chordata; Aves; Piciformes; Lybiidae
Exons: 2
Source: RefSeq, a predicted model, not a curated record
AGAAGCAAGCCCCAAGCUUGCCCACUGUGGGCAGAGGGAUCCUCCUCCGAUGGUCACCGGGCUUUCUUUUGGAAGGAGCAGUCUUUCCUCCCUUGCAACGGCUUUCAUCGUGGAGUGAGCCCAGUUAGAUUUCCUGCCUCUCUGUGUCUUCUGCAAUCCUUCCCCUGCAGCUCUCACUGGAGAGCUCACCCCUGAGACAUUCCCAUGCUGGUGGGAGUGGAGGGGGGCAGUGCUCUCCUGCUCCACCCUCUUCCAGAGGAAAUGUCAUGAGAAAAUGUUUUCUCGAGGUCUUUCCUGCUCAAAUGCUCUGAGAAUGCUUGCUAUCAACUGUGCAUUUUUAUAGCAUUUUGACUGGAAGCAAUGUGAGAAUAUUCUUUCUCACAUUAUUUCCAGUAGAAAUACCCUGAGAACGCUGUUGUUUGUGAUAUUUCUACAAAAUGUACUGGAUGUGACUACAUUUGCCUUUAUAAUUGUAGUUUUUUCCCCCCCUUUCUUCAAGCUGAGAUUUGGGCAGUGUUUAAUGUAUCUCCAUUUAAAACGUUUCCUUUAUCAUUAAGCCUUGUCCUGAUUUCUGCCAAACGAAGCAUUUUGCUGAAAUAGCCAAUUUGUUUCUUUUGUGCCCUAGGACCUAACCAAACUGAAUCAAAGGUUAAGAAACCAGAUUGAACUCCACAUCAUUUACAGUAUUUAUAGGCUCUCCUUCUGAGAUGAAGUUGUUUUGACUGCCCUUUCUGUUUCAAAGUGGACCUACAAUAGGGUUGAAUAAAACUGUGGAGGAGUAGAGACCUGGAAGAACAAAGACCACAUACUGUAAAAAAGCCAUUCUAAUUAAAUCAGAAUGCAAACACAAGAAUGCCUUUGCUUUCAGAGAAACAAGUAAGUGACCUAGAGAACCUUAUGACUUGGCAGUACACACAUUUCUUUCUUUUUAUUUUUUUUUUUAAGUAACUCACAUAUUUAAAAGGAAAUAAAUCCUGGAUAAAAAUAUAA